Molecule: long non-coding RNA, 924 nt
Organism: Hemicordylus capensis (graceful crag lizard)
Lineage: Eukaryota; Metazoa; Chordata; Lepidosauria; Squamata; Cordylidae
Exons: 3
Source: RefSeq, a predicted model, not a curated record
UUGUAGGCCCGUAAUAAAGCUCUCCUGUUAAAUCAGUAUUACAGAUGCCACAGAAGGAUGUCAAAGGCCUUGUGUGCACCAUAUACCCAAUGCUACAGGGGCAUAGCUGUAAUUGAAAGGGCUGGGGGGAGACAAAUGUCCCUGUGACCCUGAGGAAGGGGAACCCUCUGGCUUGCUCUCCCCUUCACACCUCACUGAAGAAGGCAGGGGGGGCAGGAGUCCACUUUCUGUUCCAGGCCCCACAGCAACUUUUCUAGCCCCCUUACUCCAGAAAUAUUCUUUAAGAUAGUUUCAUAUGUUGUGAGGCCUCAGCAUGUACAGUAGUUGGAUAUGCACUAGUUGCAUGCACCUGGGUGGUGUUAAAAGAGCAGCCAGUGCAAAGGGCCAGAACAAAAAAUGGAAUGAGAUCCCUUGUCACAGUUGAGCCAUGGAAGCAGCUCACUAGCCAGGCCGCCUCAGCUAUCUUAAAAAUGUUCCCCACAUGCAGACCUUCUUCAAGGUCUAAUCCGGGGAGGCAGUGAUGCAGGAUGCCCAAAGCAAAGAGAGAACCAAAUGAAUGGAAGCUGUUUGAUCUCAUUUAUAUCUCAUUCCAAGGAAGGCUACAGCAAAAGUUCAUUAGAAUCAAGGUGCUGUCCAUGACUGCUGAAGAAGAGUAGGCAGCAAGAAGGAGGGCCGACCUUGUGGAUGGUAGGGUGGAGAAGAAGUAAGGUCAUAUGAGAGUCCUACUUUGCAGAACCUUUUGCAAAUUGUGUGUGCUGGAGGAGCGAGACAAGAAGAGGGCAACCAGGCUCUCCCAACACGCCACAUCCCAGAGUGCUCUCUGAGGGAAAUGAUAUCCACAGGCAGCCAGACUUUGCUGAAAAUGGCACAACUUGUCUAGGCCUGGACAUUCUUGUACAGAGCAAUUCUUGUACAUGCGUAAAC